This 301-nucleotide ribosomal RNA is filed under the name uncultured bacterium. RNAcentral's name for it is "partial 16S ribosomal RNA". It matches the Rfam family "Bacterial small subunit ribosomal RNA", at positions 509 to 807 of the family's 1533-position model. The record is from RNAcentral.
CAGCCGCCGCGGGAAUACAGAGGGUGCGAGCGUUAAUCGGAUUUACUGGGCGUAAAGCGUGCGUAGGCGGCUAAUUGAGUCGGAUGUGAAAUCCCCGAGCUUAACUUGGGAAUUGCAUUCGAUACUGGUUAGCUAGAGUGUGGGAGAGGAUGGUAGAAUUCCAGGUGUAGCGGUGAAAUGCGUGGAGAUCUGGAGGAAUACCGAUGGCGAAGGCAGCCAUCUGGCCUAACACUGACGCUGAGGAGCGAAAGCGUGGGGAGCGAACAGGAUUAGAUACCCCUGUAGUCCCUGUCUCUUAUAC